UCUCCGUAGGUGAACCUGCGGAGGGAUCAUUCACAUGAUUAUACCUCUUUAAACAAACUGUGAACUUUAUUUACUAUUCGUGUUUUUUAUUAGAAUUUAUUCUAUUAAUUACACUGUCAUUCGAUGAACAUUAGAUAGCUGGCUCGUUUUUUAUUAAACUUUCUCAGCUGAUUUGUUUUUAUGACUAAACAUCAUAAAUCAAUCAACCAAACAUAGAAACAACUCUAUGCCCUGGAUAUCUUGGUUCUCGUAUCGAUGAAGAACGCAGC
RNAcentral lists this unclassified non-coding RNA (269 nucleotides) under plant metagenome. Its description in RNAcentral is "partial contains small subunit ribosomal RNA, internal transcribed spacer 1, and 5.8S ribosomal RNA". The stretch from base 221 to 269 matches the Rfam family "5.8S ribosomal RNA", at positions 1 to 49 of the family's 154-position model. The record is from RNAcentral.